RNAcentral lists this ribosomal RNA (253 nucleotides) under uncultured bacterium. RNAcentral's name for it is "partial 16S ribosomal RNA". It matches the Rfam family "Bacterial small subunit ribosomal RNA", at positions 524 to 776 of the family's 1533-position model. The record is from RNAcentral.
UACGUAGGGGGCAAGCGUUGUCCGGAAUCAUUGGGCGUAAAGCGCGUGUAGGCGGCUCGGUAAGUCUGCUGUGAAAGUCCAGGGCUCAACCCUGGGAUGCCGGUGGAUACUGUCGAGCUCGAGUCCGGAAGAGGCGAGUGGAAUUCCUGGUGUAGCGGUGAAAUGCGCAGAUAUCGAGAGGAACACCUGCGGCGAAGGCGGGUUGCUGGGCUGACACUGACGCUGAAGCGCGAAAGCUAGGGGAGCGAACGGG